RNAcentral lists this ribosomal RNA (541 nucleotides) under uncultured archaeon. Its description in RNAcentral is "bacterial SSU rRNA". It matches the Rfam family "Bacterial small subunit ribosomal RNA", at positions 513 to 1050 of the family's 1533-position model. The record is from RNAcentral.
AGCCGCGGUAAUACGUAGGGGGCGAGCGUUGUUCGGAUUUACUGGGCGUAAAGAGCGCGUAGGCGGUUCGAUCAGUCGGAGGUGAAAUCCCUCGGCUCAACCGAGGACCCGCGUCCGAUACUGUCGAACUUGAGUGCAGGAGAGGAGAGCGGAAUUCCCAGUGUAGCGGUGAAAUGCGUAGAUAUUGGGAGGAACACCGGUGGCGAAAGCGGCUCUCUGGACUGUCACUGACGCUGAGGCGCGAAAGCUAGGGGAGCAAACGGGAUUAGAUACCCCGGUAGUCCUAGCCGUAAACGAUGGGCACUAGGUGUGGGAGGUAUCGACCCCUUCCGUGCCGCAGCUAACGCAUUAAGUGCCCCGCCUGGGGAGUACGGCCGCAAGGUUGAAACUCAAAGGAAUUGACGGGGGCCCGCACAAGCGGUGGAGCAUGUGGUUUAAUUCGACGCAACGCGAAGAACCUUACCAGGGCUUGACAUCCCGCGAAUCCCUUCGAAAGAAGGGAGUGCCCGCAAGGGAGCGCGGAGACAGGUGGUGCAUGGCC